CCUACGGGAGGCAGCAGUGAGGAAUAUUGGUCAAUGGGCGUAAGCCUGAACCAGCCAAGUCGCGUGAGGGAUGAAGGUUCUAUGGAUCGUAAACCUCUUUUAUAAGGGAAUAAAGUGCGGGACGUGUCCCGUUUUGUAUGUACCUUAUGAAUAAGGAUCGGCUAACUCCGUCCCAGCAGCCGCGGUCAUACGGAGGAACCGAGGGUUAUCCGGAUUUAUUGGGUUUAAGGGGUACGUCGGCGGCCUUUUAAGUCAGCGGUGAAAGUCUGUGGCUCAACCAUAGAAUGGCCGUUGACACUGGAAGGCUUGAGUAUGUUUGAGGCUGGCGGAAUGCGUGGUGUAGCGGUGAAAUGCUUAGAUAUCACGCAGAACCCCGAUUGCGAAGGCAGCCUACCAAGCCAUGACUGACGCUGAUGCACGAAAGCGUGGGGAUCAAACAGGAUUAGAUACCCGUGUAGUC
RNAcentral lists this ribosomal RNA (460 nucleotides) under uncultured bacterium. RNAcentral's name for it is "partial 16S ribosomal RNA". It matches the Rfam family "Bacterial small subunit ribosomal RNA", at positions 338 to 795 of the family's 1533-position model. The record is from RNAcentral.